GUCCACUAUAUGGAGAAAUGGACUGCGAUAUAAAUUCCAGUGAGUUUGGCAGGGUAAUGAAAUGAAGUUGUUCAACUAAAGCUCUAAAGAUUUGAACAUUUAAUAGGCACACAUUCUCAUAUGGUGAUUUCUUUUCCAAUUGGUGCCCAGUGCUCCCUCAAUACAAGUACUUUUUAGUAAUGAAAAAAUAAGAAUACAAUUGAUAUUAAUUGUGUGCAUUGCAAGAAUACAGACAGAUCAUGGACAUUUCACCGCCUCUAUUUCAGAUCAUGCAUUUUUCAGUUUCCUAAAGAGGUGCCAGGCAUAUUCACAUUCAGUGUGAGGAGGGAAUACAAUCACUAUUGCGGCAAUGGAUACAAUUGAAGUUUUCUCAAACAUUUAAAAGGCGCAAAAAGCAUGCCAAAUAAGCCAGAAGCCAUCUUUGGAACUAAAUUUUGUCAUUAUCCAAAAAACACUCAACAGCUUGCCAAUAUGUCUCAGUUUCACUCAGCAUGUACUGGGGCCAAGGCUGCAGUAGCUCUAUACUAUCUGAAACAAAGUACCCUGAGAUUCUGAACACACAUCACGGGGUUUGAAAUUGUUAUCAAAUCCUAGUAAGGAUUAACUUGAUAUUCAGAAAUAAAAUUUUGAAAAUUGGUUUACAAAUUCAAGAAUCAAUUCACAACUGGUAUAUCAACUAUUCACAUAUUAGCUGUAUGAAGUUUUAAAAGGAUAGCUUGAACAAUAGGUCUUCCAUGGGAUUCUUAAAGUAGGAAUCAAUCCUAAUCCAUGUGAUACUGGAAAUCAAUAGAUUUAAAGAAAUGCAAUGCCCAUAUGGUGCUGCUUCUGACUUUUCACUUUAGUAUUUUGCUGAUGAUAAUCCCUUAUAAACAAUACCUUAAGAGUUCCAUUCUCUACCAU
RNAcentral lists this unclassified non-coding RNA (900 nucleotides) under Hevea brasiliensis (rubber tree). Lineage: Eukaryota; Viridiplantae; Streptophyta; Magnoliopsida; Malpighiales; Euphorbiaceae. The record is from RNAcentral.